Molecule: ribosomal RNA, 620 nt
Filed under: uncultured bacterium
Lineage: Bacteria
Description: bacterial SSU rRNA
Rfam family: Bacterial small subunit ribosomal RNA
Source: RNAcentral
AAAAACUCCGGUGGUAUGAGAUGGGCCCGCGUCUGAUUAGCUAGUUGGCGGGGUAACGGCCCACCAAGGCAACGAUCAGUAGCCGACCUGAGAGGGCGACCGGCCACAUUGGGACUGAGACACGGCCCAAACUCCUACGGGAGGCAGCAGUGGGGAAUAUUGCACAAUGGGGGAAACCCUGAUGCAGCGACGCCGCGUGAGCGAUGAAGUAUUUCGGUAUGUAAAGCUCUAUCAGCAGGGAAGAAGAUGACGGUACCUGACUAAGAAGCCCCGGCUAACUACGUGCCAGCAGCCGCGGUAAUACGUAGGGGGCAAGCGUUAUCCGGAUUUACUGGGUGUAAAGGGAGCGUAGACGGCGGUGCAAGCCAGAUGUGAAAGCCCGGGGCUCAACCCCGGGACUGCAUUUGGAACUGUAUGGCUGGAGUGUCGGAGAGGCAGGCGGAAUUCCUAGUGUAGCGGUGAAAUGCGUAGAUAUUAGGAGGAACACCAGUGGCGAAGGCGGCCUGCUGGACGAUGACUGACGUUGAGGCUCGAAAGCGUGGGGAGCAAACAGGAUUAGAUACCCUGGUAGUCCACGCCGUAAACGAUGACUACCAGGUGUCGGGCAGCAAAGCUGUUCG